RNAcentral lists this transfer RNA (73 nucleotides) under Loxodonta africana (African savanna elephant). It matches the Rfam family "tRNA". Rfam says of the family: Transfer RNA (tRNA) molecules are approximately 80 nucleotides in length. Their secondary structure includes four short double-helical elements and three loops (D, anti-codon, and T loops). Lineage: Eukaryota; Metazoa; Chordata; Mammalia; Proboscidea; Elephantidae. The record is from Rfam by way of RNAcentral.
CCCUGGGUGGCGCGAACGGUGAACGCACUCAGCUGCUAACUGAAGGCUGGAGGUUCGAGUCCACCCACAGGUG